GAGGGUAUAGCUCAGUUGACAGAGCACGUGCUCAGCAUGCACGAGGUCCUGGGUUCAAUCCCUAGUACCGCCA
Molecule: transfer RNA, 73 nt
Filed under: Camelus dromedarius (Arabian camel)
Lineage: Eukaryota; Metazoa; Chordata; Mammalia; Artiodactyla; Camelidae
Also listed under: 1 other name
Rfam family: tRNA
About the family: Transfer RNA (tRNA) molecules are approximately 80 nucleotides in length. Their secondary structure includes four short double-helical elements and three loops (D, anti-codon, and T loops).
Source: Rfam by way of RNAcentral